This 313-nucleotide ribosomal RNA is filed under the name uncultured Nitrospina sp. Its description in RNAcentral is "bacterial SSU rRNA". It matches the Rfam family "Bacterial small subunit ribosomal RNA", at positions 29 to 334 of the family's 1533-position model. Lineage: Bacteria; Pseudomonadati; Nitrospinota; Nitrospinia; Nitrospinales; Nitrospinaceae. The record is from RNAcentral.
AACGAACGCUGGCGGCAUGCCUAACACAUGCAAGUCGAACGAGAAUUUUCCCUUCGGGGGAAUAGUAAAGUGGCGCAAGGGUGAGUAACACGUGAAUAAUCUGCCUAUGAGUUCGGGAUAACUCGGUGAAAACCGUGCUAAUACCGGAUAAGACCACGUUUCGCAAGAAAUGUGGCCAAAGGAGUCUCAAACUUCGCUUGUAGAUGAGUUCGCGGACCAUUAGCUUGUUGGAGGGAUAACAGCCCCCCAAGGCUACGAUGGUUAGCCGGCCUGAGAGGGCGAUCGGCCACACUGGAACUGAGACACGGUCCAG